This 64-nucleotide ribosomal RNA is filed under the name Lacticaseibacillus casei. RNAcentral describes it as "Lactobacillus casei partial 16S ribosomal RNA". It matches the Rfam family "Bacterial small subunit ribosomal RNA", at positions 1 to 63 of the family's 1533-position model. Lineage: Bacteria; Bacillati; Bacillota; Bacilli; Lactobacillales; Lactobacillaceae. RNAcentral also lists the same sequence under 2 other names. The record is from RNAcentral.
UUUAUAUGAGAGUUUGAUCCUGGCUCAGGAUGAACGCUGGCGGCGUGCCUAAUACAUGCAAGUC